RNAcentral lists this ribosomal RNA (447 nucleotides) under uncultured bacterium. RNAcentral describes it as "SSU rRNA". It matches the Rfam family "Bacterial small subunit ribosomal RNA", at positions 26 to 518 of the family's 1533-position model. The record is from RNAcentral.
AGAGCGAACGCUGGCGGCAGGCCUAACACAUGCAAGUCGAGCGCCCGUAGCAAUACGGGAGCGGCAGACGGGAUAGUAACACGUGGGAACGCGCCCUUCGGUUCGGAAUAACUCAGGGAAACUUGAGCUAAUACCGAAUACGCCCUUACGGGGAAAGAUUUAUUGCCGAAGGAACGGCCCGCGUCCGAUUAGCUAGUUGGUGAGGUAAUGGCUCACCAAGGCUACGAUCGGUAGCUGGUCUGAGAGGAUGACCAGCAUCACUGGGACUGAGACACGGCCCAGACUCCUACGGGAGGCAGCAGUGGGGAAUAUUGGACAAUGGGCGCAAGCCUGAUCCAGCCAUGCCGCGUGGAUGAUGAAGGCCUUAGGGUUGUAAAGUCCUUUUAACGGGGAAGAUAAUGACGGUACCCGUAGAAUAAGCCCGGCUAACUUCGUGCUAGCAGCCGC